AGUGAUGAAAAGCAUUCUUUCUUUAGCAUCCCACUGGAUUCUUUUUUCAGAGCACAACUGAAGGGCUUCAUUUGGUUCCCGACAACAUUCCAGGCACAGAACUACAACACAUCAUGUAUUUCACCACUACCGUCAGGUCAGAAAAGCCUCACUUUUAUGAGAAAUGCAUAACGAGGCAAAAAGCCCAGAAGAUCAAAAAAACUCAUCUCUCCUGGCAGCAUCUAGAAAUUUGUCCCCACUGCUUCUUGAUAAGCAGAUGUUUACGGCCAAGUUCACUUCAGAAACCAGUACUAUGAGGCUGGAGUUAGCUGUCCUAAAGGUCUGCAGGGCUUUUACCACUUGCACACCGUACCCACGUGGCCAACAUGUGAUAGAGAGGCCAAGCGGAACACCUGCUUGCAAAACAAGUCUUUGCAAAAACAAGAUAAACUACCAACGUCAGCCCGCUCUACAAAACAAGUUCCCUUAAAACUGCCAGAAUACUUUGUUCUAUCCCAGGAUCAUUCUUUGGUCAGGGGCCUUUAGGUCCCCGACACAAGAAGGGGAUGGGAACCUCUGUUCAGCAAGAAUAAUUUCCAAAUCCCUCAUGGACGCAGCAAGAAUUCUUCUCCAGGAAAAACAAACUCAGCUGAACUCUAGCUAAAUUAACUGAUAUCCCUCAUGAUCCGCCAAUUUUCGUGAUGGAUUAUGUGGAAGCUUUAUGAAGUUCAAAAAUAGCACUGUGCUCCUCCCUCCUCCCUGUCUGAGGGUCUGCCUGCUAUCAGAAGAUUGAUCAGCCACAGGCAGAACUUCCCCACUACAAUGAACAUAAUCCUCCAGUUCACUGGUUUAAGUGAGUCUUGAAGGAUUACUUUUCAGUGUAAUGAGGGGUUAGAUGCUUCCCAAGAUAGCUGGAUGGCCUUUGUGGGUUUUUAAUAUAAGCCAGUACACAAGAAGUUACAGCACUGUAGUCUUGUCACUUAGAUAUUUUUCCCAUUUCUCAUAAAAAAAAAAAAAAGACCUCCUCAUUCCUGGGAGCUGCUUUCUCAAACAGAUCACGGAGAAAAGAGUUCUUGAGGAAGUUUCUCUUAUUUGUUUGCUUUUUUUCCAAAUAGCAUCAAUUGCUUUCUUCUUAAAAAAAAAAAAAAAAAAGAAAAAUUCUGUUCCGUUAUCAAACAUUCCCCAUGAUUGCUGGUGUGAUUAAAGGUACCUAGGUAAGAUCAUUUUCUCCACAGGGUUUUCUUAGAGUGGAGAAGUGGCAUUCCACAACUCAUUUGCACGGCACAUCCAUGCAUCCUGAUGGCCAGGCACACUCUGACCUUCUCUCCGUGUUAGAACUGAAAUAGGAUUCAGUCCAUAGCAGACCUCGGAAGAUUUCUCACUGUCCAAAUUCACAUGCAGGUGAGUCCUACCUGGUUUCCUUGUUCUCAAGGACUCCAUGGCCAGCAACAGCCUUGUGUGGCACCCAUGCUAGCAAGCACAAACAGUCGUGGAAAUAGAAGAGUAACUACCCAAGUUCUUGAUAGCUGCAUCUUCUGACAUGGGAAUGCCCUAAUCCUGUCCCCUGCAGUACUACUAACAGCUACUGCUUUCAGAGAAGAUGAGGACAAGCAGUCCCCCAUUACCAAAAGCAGCUCCCCAGUUCCCACCAACCACCUUCUGGGGGAAAGAGAGAAGGCAACGAUGGAAUGGCAUCAGCAUUCUGAUCACCUCCUCAGGUGACAAUCUCCCUUUCACCCAAGGGAUGAAAACAGACGUUGGUUAAAUAAACCAACACUUUUCCUGCAAAAUAUUGGCUGCUUCUCCCUUUUACAUGUCAUCAGGGAGCCCAAUGCAGUAUUUUAACCAGAUGCUUGAUGUGAGCCUUUUUUCCUAGGGAAAAAAAAAGAAAAAAGAAAAAAAAAAAGGUGGCUAGUAGUUGAUCAGCUGCUUUCUUCUUCUGCAAGACCUAACCCACAAGGAUAAGCAUUCCUAAUAUCUACCUGAGAUUAUUAAUUUCUAGCCUUAUUCAAAUCAGAUACAUCUCUGUGGAAUUUUCCUGUAGGCUUUUUGUGACAUUUUGGAAAAAUCCAUGGGAGUAUAGAUUAUUUCUCCCAGUGCCCAUAGGAAUCUAUGUUUAUUUGGCUAACAAAGCUGCUUGGAUUUGAAAACAAAUUAAACUACCCAGUCAUUUAUAAAAUGCCCAAAUGAAACGGAAAAAUAAAAAGCUUUUUUACAGUUUAUUUCUGUAAGAGAGAAUGUAACAUCCUUCACUCCAGAGAUUUCCCAAUCCCUGUUCCCGUCUUCUGCGUUUUAUCUUCCCUCCUCAGAUUCACAUUUUGAGGAUCAAAAUGAACGAGUUUUAUGGGAAGAGAUGACAAUGGCAAGAGGGCACACUGUCAAGCAAGCACCACAUCCUGCCAUAGGCACAUUCAGGAUGAAAUGCUCACCACCAUCAGAUGGCUUGUACAAAGGCUGCUGGGGAAGAGGGUCCUGCAUGCACAUCCCCCACAGCACUGAUAUGCACAGCACGGCAAGGAAUCCCAAAGUCUCCUUAUAACUGAUGGCAGUCUAACUAAUAUAGAUACAGGAGCCUAUGCUGCUGUUAAUCCCAGACAAAAAUAAAGGCUUAAAAGCAGGCCUUUCUCUUCACGGACUUGGACUU
Long non-coding RNA from Gallus gallus (chicken), 2623 nucleotides. RefSeq lists it as uncharacterized. The record is from RefSeq and is a predicted model, not a curated record. The transcript has 4 exons. NCBI's taxonomy places the organism in Eukaryota, Metazoa, Chordata, Aves, Galliformes, Phasianidae.